Vidua chalybeata is the source of this 782-nucleotide long non-coding RNA. RefSeq lists it as uncharacterized. The record is from RefSeq and is a predicted model, not a curated record. The transcript is spliced from 4 exons. Lineage: Eukaryota; Metazoa; Chordata; Aves; Passeriformes; Viduidae.
CCGGUUGGUGCAUGGCCAGGGCAGUCCCCGUGCAGUCGGGCUGAGAUUUUCUGCCCUUGGAGGGGUGGCAAGCGGGUAACCGAGCCCCUCACUGGGGAGGCUGUUGGGCCCUGUCCCAGCAGGUGGCCAGGGCUCCUUCUCAGCAGGGCUGAGCCCCCUUCCCGGCGGAGCCUUGGGACCAGCACCAGGAAUGGCCAGCACUGGGAGUGCCCCAAAGCCGUGAGGAGCCAGGGCCAGGAGUGGCCCCAAAGCGCAACAGGUAAUCCCCCUGUGUCAGAGUGGGAAGGCAUGGAGAACACCCCACAGAUGUGAAGCAGAGGACAGCCUAAAGUGCUGGCCCAGGAAUAGUGAAGCAUUCCUUUAUGAGGAGACAGAUACAUGGAUGGCUAUACUGGAAUAGACAGCACAGUGCGCAUGACUUAGUGGACUGCAUCGCUCACCCUGAAAGAGCUGCCCACUUUAAGAAGCAUUGCUGCGCUUCCUAUGAGCACUCACACCUUCACGGUACAUGUGCACAUUUCACAGUAUAUAUUCAAUAUUAAAUUUAAAAACAAACUUAGAAGAGAGACAGAAGUGUUCCAGCUUCUAGCUGACAGGCACUUUCCCUAACAAAGCCCUUUCUACAUCCACAUUCCAGUUUACCAACUGGUUUACAAAGUGCCUAUCACCAGAAACAGCUCUUAUUCCUUUAUGCAGUGUCUAUCCUAGCUAACUGUGGGACUACCAAGAUGCAGGACAGCAAGACUGCAAUCAUAAAGUCAUCCAGUUGAUGGGUGAAUUGU